RNAcentral lists this transfer RNA (68 nucleotides) under Schindleria praematura (Schindler's fish). Its description in RNAcentral is "tRNA-Ser". The record is from RNAcentral. Lineage: Eukaryota; Metazoa; Chordata; Actinopteri; Gobiiformes; Schindleriidae.
GAAGGAGGCUGGCUAGCAACAAGGGCUGCUACCCUUUGUGUCACAGGUUGAACCCCUAUGCUCCAUCG